UACGUAGGGUCCGAGCGUUGUCCGGAAUUAUUGGGCGUAAAGGGCUCGUAGGCGGUUUGUCGCGUCGGGAGUGAAAACCAGGUGCUUAACACCUGGCCUGCUUUCGAUACGGGCAGACUAGAGGCAUUCAGGGGAGAACGGAAUUCCCGGUGUAGCGGUGAAAUGCGCAGAUAUCGGGAGGAACACCGGUGGCGAAGGCGGUUCUCUGGGCCUGUACUGACGCUGAGGAGCGAAAGCGUGGGGAGCGAACAGG
Molecule: ribosomal RNA, 253 nt
Filed under: uncultured bacterium
Lineage: Bacteria
Description: partial 16S ribosomal RNA
Rfam family: Bacterial small subunit ribosomal RNA
Source: RNAcentral